This 62-nucleotide transfer RNA is filed under the name Chiton albolineatus. RNAcentral's name for it is "tRNA-Leu". Lineage: Eukaryota; Metazoa; Mollusca; Polyplacophora; Chitonida; Chitonidae. The record is from RNAcentral.
ACUAAAGUGGCAGAUUAGUGCUAUAAAGUUAAGUUUUAUAUAUGAAUUUUAUUCCUUUAGUU